CAUUUUGAUCUGAAAAAACACUAAAGAAUGAGUAUUUCUUCUCAAGAACAAACACCACAAAGCCUUUCCUCAUCUAUUCAGAACCAAUAUUACUUUUAAAUACACUAUUUAAGAAGAGUCAAGGAAAAAAAGAUGGAGGGAUGAUUUUUGUGCCAUUUCAGGGUGACAGAAAAGGAAACAAGGAGAGCUGGAAUUGACCUGGCUUCUUGUGGGAAAUACUUCAGUGAUGGAUGGAAGCAGAGGGAGAAAGGACCAAAAUGAAGCCAGGAGGGACAAGAUGGCUGGAAUGUUUGGUUCUGAGGAUUCAUGAUUGUCCUUAACUCACACAGACUGAACUCUGGUUUGCCUGUCUUCCUGGGGCUUGUAUAAGAACAUCCUGCAGAAAAAUAUUAACAACACGAGUGAUCUUCACUGUGUUUAACGACUCAUUGAUUGUGAAAGAUGUUUUACCUGGGAUAACAAUGAGUGUGUAUUCCCGGAGCCUAAACUCACUGACCUGGAAGGGGGCCCCUGAGAAGUGUGCUAAGUGGACAAAGGAAGCCUGGCUAGAGUUUAUAUUUUUCUAACUAGAUAACUGAGUGAACUAAAAGGUCUUUUAUUAUCCUUAUGUGGAUUACGUACUUUAUAGGAUAUGCAUAGUCAAUAUUAAAACCA
Molecule: long non-coding RNA, 654 nt
Filed under: Pongo abelii (Sumatran orangutan)
Lineage: Eukaryota; Metazoa; Chordata; Mammalia; Primates; Hominidae
Description: lincRNA
Source: RNAcentral